Molecule: long non-coding RNA, 805 nt
Organism: Astatotilapia calliptera (eastern happy)
Lineage: Eukaryota; Metazoa; Chordata; Actinopteri; Cichliformes; Cichlidae
Source: Ensembl
GAGAAGUUGUAGAUUCCAUGUUCUGUGUUAUCGUUGUCUUGUCUCUCCGGCGCACAACUUCCAGUUCCCGCAACUCACAGGAAGUGACUACUUCAGAAUAAUUUUUAACAGAAACAUUUUUUAUAAAAAUGUAUCACUGGACUCAUAGAUUAUCUCUUUCUACUAUAAGUGUACACAAACAUGAGUCCCAAAUACAGGAAAACAAAUAGAAAACAAUACAACAACCUCAGACACGCUUCUGGUGUUGUCAUGGCAACCCACACAAACAUUUUAUCAUCAGCUACAUUCAGUAUGGUCACUUGUUAUUGUUAGCCCCUUCCCAAUAUUGUGGAAAACAUCUUAUUUUACUGUCACUGUAUAUCAUUCAUAAAGCACUGUCAUUAUUUCAUUAUUACUUCAUUAGUCCGCAUCAGCUUAUCAUCAAUAUUAUCAUGUAUCACAAUACUCUAUCAGUUAGUAGAGCACCAGUUUAGCUGGGGUCCGCAUCAGCUUAUCAUCAAUAUUAUCAUGUAUCACAAUACUCUAUCAGUUAGUAGAGCACCAGUUUAGCUGGGGGUCCAGUCAGCCCGCAGUAAAGUCAUAUGAGGACACGGUGAACUUUUGUUGGCCGGAAACGGACACUCUCACACAACUACACAUUCUACACACUAUUGGUUAUGUUCCCAGAAUACAGAGGAGUGGAAACAUCUGGAACAUGUUGUUGUUCUUAGCCAUACAAGGACAUAGAAGGGUGAACUGACUGAUACUUAUCAGGUGACUUGACGUCAUCAUUGCAAUAAAAACCUUGUGUUAGGGUUGUUCUUGG